AUUGAACGCUGGCGGCAUGCUCUACACAUGCAAGUCGAACGGUAACAGGCCGCAAGGUGCUGACGAGUGGCGAACGGGUGCGUAAUGCAUCGGAACGUGCCCAGUCGUGGGGGAUAACUACUCGCAAGAGUAGCUAAUACCGCAUACGAUCUAUGGAUGAAAGCGGGGGACCGUAAGGCUUCGCGCGAUUGGAGCGGCCGAUGUCAGAUUAGGUAGUUGGUGGGGUAAAGGCUCACCAAGCCAACGAUCUGUAGCUGGUCUGAGAGGACGACCAGCCACACUGGGACUGAGACACGGCCCAGACUCCUACGGGAGGCAGCAGUGGGGAAUUUUGGACAAUGGGCGCAAGCCUGAUCCAGCAAUGCCGCGUGCAGGAAGAAGGCCUUCGGGUUGUAAACUGCUUUUGUACGGAACGAAACGGCUCUGGUUAAUACCCGGGGCUAAUGACGGUACCGUAAGAAUAAGCACCGGCUAACUACGUG
This 482-nucleotide ribosomal RNA is filed under the name uncultured bacterium. RNAcentral describes it as "partial 16S ribosomal RNA". It matches the Rfam family "Bacterial small subunit ribosomal RNA", at positions 30 to 507 of the family's 1533-position model. The record is from RNAcentral.